RNAcentral lists this transfer RNA (63 nucleotides) under Allolobophora dubiosa. RNAcentral describes it as "Aporrectodea dubiosa tRNA-Leu". Lineage: Eukaryota; Metazoa; Annelida; Clitellata; Crassiclitellata; Lumbricidae. The record is from RNAcentral.
UAGUAAGUUGGCAGAAUAGUGCCACUGACUUAGGAUCAGUUCAAGGGUGUACCCACUUACUAU